CUCCCAAGAUAAACUUGUUCCCACAUGGGUAGAAGUGGCAAUCUAGUUCGCUAUUCGCAAGCCAGCUCAUGUUCAGCUCGAAAUGAGCUCGAAAUCGAAUUAUCUUAUUUAGUAAACGAGCCAAACACGAGCUGGAUUUUUCAACUCAUUUAAUAAACUAGCCAAACAAGAGCUAGGGUUAGCUCGCUCGUGUUCGGCUCGAUAACAGCUCGAAUACAUAUAUUUUAUAUUUAUAUAGUUUAUUUAAUUUAUAUUUAUAUAUAUUUAUAUAUAUAAAUAAAUAAUAAUAUAUAUAAUGUAUAUAUUUUUUUAUUUGAUUUUUAGCAAAAAAGAGAAUAUAAAGCCGGGCUCAAUUAUAAAAAUACUCAUUUACCAUUAGAUCAAAAUUUAAUGGGUAAAAUUUUAUAAAUUUAUCUUUUAUAUAUAUCCAAUCUAAUUUAUUUAACUCAUUGUUCGGUGGCUAGCUCGUGAGCUAGCUCAUGAUCGGCUCGUUAAUUACCGCAUCGAACACGAGUUGAAUUUUUCGACUUGAUAUUUUAACGGACCAGCUCGUGUUCGGCUUGUUGACGCCCCUACAAGUGGGAUUGCCAAACUUUAACGGGGCAGCUCGUGUUAGAAUGUUUUCGAAUAGAUUAGCGCAAAAACAAGAUUUUUGAGAUAAGCCACAUUUGAGCUUUCCAAGCCUUGGGGUCCGAAUCUUGAUUUGAGGAACUGGACCUUAGCUUAUGUGCACUGAAGAGUGUCUAGUGCGCACGGCAAGUCUGUGCACGCGCUAAAUAGGCUUCUAUUGGGGCUCGAAAGUGAUAGAAUAAACUAUCCGAUAAUAACUAAUUCCAAAUAAAUUUUUUUUUUCUAUAAUUGAAAGUUAAGGGGUUUGAAGCACUUUGAAAGGUCUUGGCAUGUUUGAUUUUGUAGCAUGGUAUAUUUCAUAUAUGAGAUGAUCUAUUUUGUUCCCAAAAAAUGAUUUAGGCUUAGUUUGGUAUUGAGGUCUAUUUAACGCUAUUAGAUAAAAUGGAGUUGAGGAAAAAGUAUAUAGAAAUAUACUUCUACAUUCUUCGGUGGGACUGCAUAAAAUAUAUCGUAACCGACUCAUCGCGAUAUGCGGAAUGCAAUAUUACGUACGGAAACAAACAGGAUAUUUUAAAAUAUAUUGUAACCGACUCAUCGCGAUAUGCGGAAUGCAAUAUUACGUACGGAAAUAAACAGAAUAUUUUUCCAACGUACUUUCUCACUGCACGAAACGCAAUCCUCCCGCAAUCCCAAACGAAAUCUUAAACAUAGAAUAUGGUAUCCAUUAUAAAUAUCUGAUUGUAUUUCCUAUCUACUAAAUACAAC
Molecule: long non-coding RNA, 1335 nt
Filed under: Ananas comosus (pineapple)
Lineage: Eukaryota; Viridiplantae; Streptophyta; Magnoliopsida; Poales; Bromeliaceae
Description: long non-coding RNA (ACOM_LNC005890)
Source: RNAcentral